CAGUCGCCGCGGUAAAACGUAGGUCCCGAGCGUUAUCCGGAUUUAUUGGGCGUAAAGCGAGCGCAGGCGGUUAGAUAAGUCUGAAGUUAAAGGCUGUGGCUUAACCAUAGUACGCUUUGGAAACUGUUUAACUUGAGUGCAGAAGGGGAGAGUGGAAUUCCAUGUGUAGCGGUGAAAUGCGUAGAUAUAUGGAGGAACACCGGUGGCGAAAGCGGCUCUCUGGUCUGUAACUGACGCUGAGGCUCGAAAGCGCGGGGAGCAAACAGGAUUAGAUACCCCAGUAGUCCCUGUCUCUUAUACC
This 301-nucleotide ribosomal RNA is filed under the name uncultured bacterium. Its description in RNAcentral is "partial 16S ribosomal RNA". It matches the Rfam family "Bacterial small subunit ribosomal RNA", at positions 509 to 808 of the family's 1533-position model. The record is from RNAcentral.